AGGCCGUGCUAUGUGACAAUAUGUAUUUAAAUUGUAUUUAUCAUAUUGCACAUCUCCCGGCCUAC
This 65-nucleotide microRNA precursor is filed under the name Drosophila mojavensis. RNAcentral describes it as "Dmo-Mir-92-P5_pre stem-loop". The record is from RNAcentral. Lineage: Eukaryota; Metazoa; Arthropoda; Insecta; Diptera; Drosophilidae.